This is a microRNA precursor of Alligator mississippiensis (American alligator), 70 nucleotides long. It matches the Rfam family "mir-219 microRNA precursor family". Rfam says of the family: The hairpin precursors (represented here) are predicted based on base pairing and cross-species conservation -- their extents are not known. In this case the mature sequence is excised from the 5' arm of the hairpin. NCBI's taxonomy places the organism in Eukaryota, Metazoa, Chordata, Crocodylia, Alligatoridae. The record is from Rfam.
CCGGGUCCUGAUUGUCCAAACGCAAUUCUUGUGUCUGCCCCAAGAAUUGAGUGUGGACGUCGGGAGCCGC